AGAAACUUAAGUUAUAUAAAACUAGGAGCCUUCAAAGCCCCCAAAAAAGUUACUUUAGUUUCUG
RNAcentral lists this transfer RNA (64 nucleotides) under Vipera berus (adder). RNAcentral describes it as "tRNA-Trp". RNAcentral also lists the same sequence under 3 other names. The record is from RNAcentral. Lineage: Eukaryota; Metazoa; Chordata; Lepidosauria; Squamata; Viperidae.